RNAcentral lists this ribosomal RNA (443 nucleotides) under uncultured bacterium. RNAcentral describes it as "SSU rRNA". It matches the Rfam family "Bacterial small subunit ribosomal RNA", at positions 26 to 518 of the family's 1533-position model. The record is from RNAcentral.
AGAACGAACGCUGGCGGCAGGCUUAACACAUGCAAGUCGAACGCCCCGCAAGGGGAGUGGCAGACGGGUGAGUAACGCGUGGGAAUCUACCUAGUUCUACGGAACAACAGUUGGAAACGACUGCUAAUACCGUAUACGCCCUAAGGGGGAAAGAUUUAUCGGAAUUAGAUGAGCCCGCGUAAGAUUAGCUAGUUGGUGGGGUAAUGGCCUACCAAGGCGACGAUCUUUAGCUGGUCUGAGAGGAUGAUCAGCCACACUGGGACUGAGACACGGCCCAGACUCCUACGGGAGGCAGCAGUGGGGAAUAUUGGACAAUGGGCGCAAGCCUGAUCCAGCCAUGCCGCGUGAGUGAUGAAGGCCUUAGGGUUGUAAAGCUCUUUCAGUGGGAAGAUAAUGACGGUACCCACAGAAGAAGCUCCGGCCAACUACGCGCCAGCAGCCGC